AGAGUUUGAUCCGUGGCGUCAGGACGAACGCUGGCGGCGUGCUUAACACAUGCAAGUCGAACGGAAAGGCCGUCUUUCGGGGGUACUCGGAGUGGCGUAACGGGUGAGUAACACGUGAGUAACCUGCCCUUGACUUUGGGGAUAACUUCAGGAAACUGGGGCUAAUACCGGAUAGGAGCUCCUGCUGCAUGGUGGGGGUUGGAAAGUUUCGGCGGUUGGGGAUGGACUCGCGGCUUAUCAGCUUGUUGGUGGGGGUAGUGGCUUACCAAGGCUUUGACGGGUAGCCGGCCUGAGAGGGUGACCGGCCACAUUGGGACUGAGAUACGGCCCAGACUCCUACGGGAGGCAGCAGUGGGGAAUAUUGCACAAUGGGUGGAAGCCUGAUGCAGCAACGCCGUGUGCGGGAUGACGGCCUUCGGGUUGUAAACCGCUUUCGCUCAUGACGAAGCUUUGUGUAACGGUAGUGGGUAAAGAAGCACCGGCUAACUACGUG
This 493-nucleotide ribosomal RNA is filed under the name uncultured Propionibacterium sp. Its description in RNAcentral is "bacterial SSU rRNA". It matches the Rfam family "Bacterial small subunit ribosomal RNA", at positions 8 to 507 of the family's 1533-position model. The record is from RNAcentral. Lineage: Bacteria; Bacillati; Actinomycetota; Actinomycetes; Propionibacteriales; Propionibacteriaceae.